CUUGGUGGAAAGGUUGCGCCAGAACACGUCUUGUUUGCGGUUAUGCUUAAACGUGCUUUAUUAUAUAAACACAAAUGUUAUAUAAAGUUUUUGGCCACUGAGAAAACGAGGUCAAAAAGAAAAUUUUGAAAAUAAGGCUAUAAUUAUAUAAUAUUGACGAACGCACACAUUCCAACUCAGACCAUAGUUAAUAUAAUGAGAGGGUUUGGAAGGCCGGCAAACUUCAAAGGAUAACGCCCCCUUUCGUGAGCUGAACUCGAUAGAGGGCAUCACGUGACAGUUAUAGUGCAUCAUGGCGUGAUUCUAUAAUACAAUUCCCUAUUGACAACUUAGAAAUCUUUAAUUUUCGCUCGUUAUACGAGGUUUGGGUGAAAUACGAGGUUUUAUCGCAAAUCUCCAUCGUAAGUGGCAACUUUUGAGACGUUUUUAUGUGUGAUAACCCAAAUUGCUGACGCUGUGUAUAGUAUCAAUUUCAAGUGAAGCGAAGUCAUACUGCUAAAGCCGCUCGAAAUGGUCGUUGAAAACGCACGUUUAAGGUUUGGAAUCAUGGAAAUAGAUGAGGAAAUUGAUACUGAGCGUUUAGAAAGCUCUUGUUCACCUUUGAGGACGAUUUAGAGUAAACAACUGCGCUUCUCGAGAUGGACGUGGAUGAAGUUCAGAUUGAAGUUCAACAAGCGCUUGAAGAGGUAUGAAAUAUAAAAUUUAGACGAUGAUUUUUAUACAUAUAUUACUGUAAACAUAGAUAUUUACCUAAUGAAUAUUUUCCCUUUCAAUACAUCGUCUCUAGAUUGAAGGAAAGAAACAGUUCCCUUGCAGAUUUGCAGUUUCUGUGAGAAAGUUUGCAAAUCCAAAGGUGGCCUGACAAGACACCGCGACGCAGUAUGAAACAUGUUGCAGAAUUCGGUGAGGGAUCUUCUACAUUUCAAACAGUGAUAUUAGUAGAAAAAGUUGCCGAAUUAAUACGUGAUAUCGGUCCACACGUGGUUCAGUUGGUUGACGAAAAACUGUAUAACGUAUGCCCUACUUUAGUAUUUACUCUGUUUAACGCCAGGCGAUUUUACCUGUCAAGGGAAGCAUCUAAGAUAAUAUUUCUGUGCCACCAAAGGGCAGUCUAACUCUCAGAGCCAAACAAAUGUAAUUAGAAUAAUUAAUCAUAGAUUCUUGUUUGAAUUUUAGGAAGAAUUGUCUUUGUCACCUCAGGAGCUUGGACCAUUAUCAUAUUUGACUGGCUAUGUGAUAAGAUCUUUAUACCAGAAAAGCAAGAACUGUUAUAGGAGCAAUUCUUCCUGAAACAAAGAAGUCCAAGCCUCGAUGUCAUCAAUGCGACAGGACACAGAGGCCAAUAAAUACAUUUCAUCCUUGUUGAGGGGUGGACUUUGGUCACCACACUCAUGGAUUGUAAGCAUUGCAAGGUGUCAGAGUUAAUAUUUAAAACACACAUCAAAUAAAGACAAGGUUACUGUCUACCAGUAGACACAAUUGUGAAUGAAGUCCUAACUUCUCCUCUUGUGACAAACUUGUGGUGCAACAUUAUUCAAAACUGUGAUGUAGAAACUUCCAUGGAAUGUCAAUCUUUAUGUUUAGAGAAUGUUCAGUCAAAUUAUAUGUAACUGUAAGAUGUUUUCCUUUGCUAAGGAUAUUGUAAAUAAAUAUAAGAUAAGUCAGGGUACACAGAAAAAGAAAGCUUUAUGAAAAGACUUGAAGACAGGCACAGAUUUUCCGGGGGUGGGAACCCCCCCCCAGAAAUGAUUUGCACCCUCCAGAGGCAUUUGGCACAGCCCCCAAAAGUCUUGGCACUCCCGCAAAUUAUAUAUAUUUUGAUUUGAUAGUUUCAUAUUUGAUUAUUCUUACUAAAUUUGUAAAAUUACCAAUAUUAUGGUCUCAGAUGAUCAGAUCUCACCAUGCAGGCCUAGAAAACAAAUUUUGUUAAACUUUUUCCUUGGCCUUUCCAGGUGUUGCCACCAGGCCCCGGCCUUUCAAAGCAAACAGCACCCCCCCCCCCAGAUAUUUAUCCACACACCCCGAACGAAAAUAUGAAAAUCCGUCUCUGCUUGAAGAUUGCCAGUGAAGAAAAGAAAUAGUCAGGUACAUAAUACAAUAACGUUAUAUCAAUGAUAUUAAAUGUAAAUAUGAUACUGUAUCAAUGAAUUAUCCUCAUAUUUUUAUGUGUAAUCUUUUCAUCAACACAUAGUAAUAACAACAAUAUAUAAAUAUAUACGCACAGCUUAAACUACUUUCUCUCAAUUAUGUAAUGUUCAGCCAAAUUUAGUCAUGCAGUUUAAAUAAGCUAAUUGGAGAUAAUAGGCUAACAUAUCUCAAUGUGCUCUUUUAUUCUUUUACUCUGUCAGUGUCUAUCAUCAGACAAUUUUACACAUCAAGGGCAGUGCGUAUUAAGCAUUGCAGCUUAAAGAGUUAAAAUCAUAUGGCAUCAGACAAAUGUUAAAACGAUAAAGUAGGAGCAUUGUGGCUUAAUUAAACAUACAUUGUGUAGUGUAU
Non-coding RNA from Paramuricea clavata, 2496 nucleotides. The record is from the annotation of a GenBank genome assembly. Lineage: Eukaryota; Metazoa; Cnidaria; Anthozoa; Malacalcyonacea; Plexauridae.